UUUAACAACAGGAAAUUUUUCUAUAGCUUGCUAUAAAGAAUAAUUAGUGGCAGACGGGUGAGUAAUGCAUAGGGAUCUACCUAGUAGUAUGGGAUAGCCACUAGAAAUGGUGGGUAAUACUGUAUAAUCCCUGCGGGGGAAAGAUUUAUCGCUAUUAGAUGAGCCUAUGUUAGAUUAGCUAGUUGGUAGGGUAAAGGCCUACCAAGGCGAUGAUCUAUAGCUGGUCUGAGAGGAUGAUCAGCCACACUGGAACUGAGAUACGGUCCAGACUCCUACGGGAGGCAGCAGUGGGGAAUAUUGGACAAUGGGCGCAAGCCUGAUCCAGCUAUGCCGCGUGAGUGAGGAAGGCCUUAGGGUUGUAAAACUCUUUCAGUAGGGAAGAUAAUGACGGUACCUACAGAAGAAGUCCCGGCAAACUCCGUGCCAGCAGCCGCGGUAAUACGGAGGGGGC
Molecule: ribosomal RNA, 451 nt
Filed under: Anaplasma phagocytophilum
Lineage: Bacteria; Pseudomonadati; Pseudomonadota; Alphaproteobacteria; Rickettsiales; Anaplasmataceae
Description: bacterial SSU rRNA
Rfam family: Bacterial small subunit ribosomal RNA
Source: RNAcentral